Molecule: ribosomal RNA, 65 nt
Filed under: Streptococcus uberis C6344
Lineage: Bacteria; Bacillati; Bacillota; Bacilli; Lactobacillales; Streptococcaceae
Also listed under: 5 other names
Description: partial 16S ribosomal RNA
Rfam family: Bacterial small subunit ribosomal RNA
Source: RNAcentral
CUAAAAUGAGAGUUUGAUCCUGGCUCAGGACGAACGCUGGCGGCGUGCCUAAUACAUGCAAGUAG